UGGCGAGUGUCCCACCUGCUCAGGGUUCUGCAGCGUUUCCACCGUUCAGCCAUGCGCCUGCUGCUCGUCCCGGUGCUCGAGGUGAUUUUUGCCCUUGGAGGAAUUGGAGCCCAGUCCGUGACCCAGCCCGAGGGCCACAUCACUGUCUCUGAAGGAGCCCCUCUCCAGCUGAGGUGCAACUAUUCAUCUUCUUAUUCACCAUAUCUCUUCUGGUAUGUGCAAUACCCCAACCAAGGACUCCAGCUUCUGCUGAAGUAUGUGUCGGGGAACACCCUGGUUAAAGGCAUCAAAGAUUUUGAGGCAGAAUUUAAGAAGAGUGAAACCUCCUUCCACCUGAAGAAAUCAGCAGCCCAUUUGAGAGACUCGGCUGAGUACUUCUGUGCUCUGAGUGACACUGUGGCUGAGACUGCAGGGGGAGCAGAUCACAAACCUCUUGAGACAUUGGCAAUUUCUGUGACUCAAGAGCUCAAUCACGAAUUCUACUUUAUGCUACUAAAUAUCCACUCCAACUUUGAUGCUUACAAAUAUAUGCUGUAUAUUUUUAUGUGUUUAUUUUUAAACUAUCUGUGA
Carlito syrichta (Philippine tarsier) is the source of this 570-nucleotide non-coding RNA. Lineage: Eukaryota; Metazoa; Chordata; Mammalia; Primates; Tarsiidae. The record is from the annotation of a RefSeq genome assembly.